This 279-nucleotide unclassified non-coding RNA is filed under the name fungal sp. RNAcentral's name for it is "partial internal transcribed spacer region". The stretch from base 1 to 46 matches the Rfam family "Eukaryotic small subunit ribosomal RNA", at positions 1786 to 1831 of the family's 1831-position model. The record is from RNAcentral. Lineage: Eukaryota; Fungi.
AAGUCGUAACAAGGUUUCCGUAGGUGAACCUGCGGAAGGAUCAUUAAAGAAUGAUACCUUUUUUUGGUAUACACUUCUUAUCCCUUUGUCUACAUACUCUGUUGCUUCCAUGGUGCCAGUCAGUUUUGACUCUGGACAGGUGAUUUAUUUUUCCUGUUUGGAAGUGCCCAUGGGUAGUCUUCCCUCUAGGGGGAAGACUGUUUGAAAAACCUUAUGUGAUAGAAUUGUCUGAAUAUAUAUGAAAAUAUAAAACUUUCAACAACGGAUCUCUAGGCUCUU